AUACGGAGGAUGCGAGCGUUAUCCGGAUUUAUUGGGUUUAAAGGGAGCGUAGGUGGGAUAUUAAGUCAGCUGUGAAAGUUUGGGGCUCAACCUUAAAAUUGCAGUUGAUACUGGUUUCCUUGAGUACGGUACAGGUGGGCGGAAUUCGUGGUGUAGCGGUGAAAUGCUUAGAUAUCACGAAGAACUCCGAUCGUGAAGGCAGCUCACCGGGCCGGAACUGACACUGAUGCUCGAAAGUGCGGGUAUCAAACAGGAUUAGAUACCCUGGUAGUCCGCACAGUAAACGAUGAAUACUCGCUGUUUGCGAUACACUGUAAGCGGCCAAGCGAAAGCGUUAAGUAUUCCACCUGGGGAGUACGCCGGCAACGGUGAAACUCAAAUGAAUUGGCGGGG
This 393-nucleotide ribosomal RNA is filed under the name uncultured bacterium. RNAcentral describes it as "partial 16S ribosomal RNA". It matches the Rfam family "Bacterial small subunit ribosomal RNA", at positions 523 to 918 of the family's 1533-position model. The record is from RNAcentral.